This 65-nucleotide transfer RNA is filed under the name Homola orientalis. RNAcentral describes it as "tRNA-Asn". Lineage: Eukaryota; Metazoa; Arthropoda; Malacostraca; Decapoda; Homolidae. The record is from RNAcentral.
UUGAUAAAAGCCAAAAAGAGGCUAAUCACUGUUAAUGAUUUUAUUGAAUUUUUAUUCUUAUCAAG